Molecule: long non-coding RNA, 151 nt
Organism: Cinclus cinclus
Lineage: Eukaryota; Metazoa; Chordata; Aves; Passeriformes; Cinclidae
Exons: 3
Source: RefSeq, a predicted model, not a curated record
UAUGAGUAUGAACCAGACUAUGAAUAUGAGAGCAUUUUAUCUGAAGCUUCUUAUGCUGGAAAUCAGCAGAAUCCUCUUAUGGAGGUCCUCAGUUAUUGCCAGGCCAUGUAUGAUGCCAUCCAGAAGUUGGAUAAAAAAUUUGACCUGCUUC